GAAUUGAGCGGCAUAACCUGAAUCUGAGGCAGCACCUGGCACGGCUGGGACGGAAGUCGCUGUCGUUCUCAAAAUCGGUGGAGCUGCAUGACAAAGUCAUCGGGCAUUAUCUGAACAUAAAA
RNAcentral lists this unclassified non-coding RNA (122 nucleotides) under uncultured fungus. RNAcentral describes it as "sequence contains ITS1". The record is from RNAcentral. Lineage: Eukaryota; Fungi.